RNAcentral lists this ribosomal RNA (403 nucleotides) under uncultured bacterium. RNAcentral's name for it is "partial 16S ribosomal RNA". It matches the Rfam family "Bacterial small subunit ribosomal RNA", at positions 28 to 526 of the family's 1533-position model. The record is from RNAcentral.
GACGAACGCUGGCGGCGUGCCUAAUACAUGCAAGUCGAACGCAGUGGGGACGGGUGAGUAACACGUGGGUAACCUCCCAUCAGAGGGGAUAACACUUGGAAACAGGUGCUAAACCGAUACUGAUGGAUGGACCCGCGGUGCAGUAGCUAGUGGGUGAGGUAACGGCACACCAAGGCCACGAGGCAGAGCCGACCUGCGAGGAUGAGCGGCCACACUGGAAUUGAGACACGGCCCAGACUCCUACGGGAGGCAGCAGUGGGGAAUCUUGGGCAAUGGGGGAAAGUCUGACCGAGCAACGCCGCGUGAGUGAAGAAGGUUUUCGGAUCGUAAAACACUGUUGUUAGAGAAGCGGUAUCUAACCAGAAAGCCACGGCUAACUCCGUGCCAGCAGCCGCGGUAAUUC